AGGGAAGUCGCGCAGCAUGGAAGCGCGUUUGUUUUGGGUACAAAAUGUCACGGGUUCAACUCCUGUCCUCCCUA
RNAcentral lists this transfer RNA (74 nucleotides) under Betula populifolia (gray birch). RNAcentral's name for it is "tRNA-Pro". It matches the Rfam family "tRNA". From Rfam's summary of the family: Transfer RNA (tRNA) molecules are approximately 80 nucleotides in length. Their secondary structure includes four short double-helical elements and three loops (D, anti-codon, and T loops). Lineage: Eukaryota; Viridiplantae; Streptophyta; Magnoliopsida; Fagales; Betulaceae. The record is from RNAcentral.